CGUACGGAGAAGAUUUUCUGGUUAGUCAAACAAUUUCACUAAACCAAUGGUUUUAUCUUAUAUUAAUGGUGGCGCCUACACUCUUAAAGGCGGCGAAAAUCGCCGGCGAUCGAAGAAAGCUUCACUCGCGACGAACCUUCACGGAGACGUCGAGGCUACCGCUGUCGUCUUUGAUUAGAGGAAAGCUGAUAUCCGCCGGCUACACUUCUCUGUCGUCGAUUUCAUCCACCGAUCUCGCUCGAGAGGCUGAAGCGUUUGAGAUUUUGAAGAUGGCAAAUCAAGUCGCUGGAUCAAGUUCUCUCGUAAAUGUGUUUAACACAGGUCGGCUUCUACGUUUCAGUCGUCUUCCAACUUUGAGCAUCUUCCCCAAAUUUUCACCUCUUUCUGCUCUCAUGGAUGCAUCGAAUCUCGGUUCUUCCAGCAAACCUGCCUUCUCUUCCUUCUCACAAUCCAGCAGAAGCGGCGGUAGAGGAAGAGGAAACGAGAGAGAUAAUGAUCGUCGGAGGCCUCAGGGUCGUGGCGGCGGCGGUGGUGGCAGAGGAGGAGAAGGAGGCAAUGAUAGAAUCGAUGCUCUUGGAAGACUCUUGACGAGAAUCUUGAGACACAUGGCUACUGAGAUGAGAUUGGACAUGAGAGGUGAUGGUUUUGUUAAAGUUGAAGACUUGCUUAACCUGAAUCUUAAAACGUCUGCAAACGUUCAGUUGAAGUCUCAUACCGUUGAUGAAAUUAGAGAGGCAGUGAGAAGGGACAAUAAGCAACGUUUUAGCCUCGUUGAAGAGGAUGGAGAGCUCUUGAUCCGCGCUAACCAAGGCCACUCCAUCACGACGGUUGAAUCCGACAAGUUACUUAAACCAAUAUUGUCACCGGAAGAAGCUCCAGUGUGUGUGCAUGGAACUUAUAAGAAGAAUUUGGAAUCCAUCUUAGCAUCUGGCUUAAAGCGUAUGAAUAGGAUGCACGUUCACUUUUCUUGUGGCUUGCCAACAGAUGGUGAAGUGAUAAGUGGCAUGAGAAGGGAUGUUAACGUCCUAAUCUUCCUUGACAUCAAGAAAGCUCUUGAAGAUGGAAUUGCAUUCUACAUUUCGGACAACAAGGUGAUUUUGACUGAAGGCGUUGAUGGUGUAGUGCCUGUUGAUUACUUCCACAAGAUCGAGUCUUGGCCUAGUCGGCAGCCAAUUCCUUUCUGAUUACUUUUUUUAUGGACAACAUCAUUGACUUAUUACCACCAAACAAUGCAACUGGUGAAACAAGUUUUUUUUAUCAGUCACGUUUUUAUCUAUUCUUUUAUCGUUUUUCAUCUGUUGACAAUACACCAAUAUUUGAUCAUGGCUGUUGUUUCCAUACUCAUAAGUGUGUAACCAAUGUUUGCAGAAAGUUAAUAGAUAUUUCAACUAAUUUA
Molecule: RNA transcript, 1396 nt
Organism: Brassica napus (rape)
Lineage: Eukaryota; Viridiplantae; Streptophyta; Magnoliopsida; Brassicales; Brassicaceae
Gene name: tRNA 2'-phosphotransferase 1
Exons: 11
Source: RefSeq, a predicted model, not a curated record